GCUUGCUUCUCUUGAGAGCGGCGGACGGGUGAGUAAUGCCUAGGAAUCUGCCUGGUAGUGGGGGAUAACGUUCGGAAACGGACGCUAAUACCGCAUACGUCCUACGGGAGAAAGCAGGGGACCUUCGGGCCUUGCGCUAUCAGAUGAGCCUAGGUCGGAUUAGCUAGUUGGUGAGGUAAUGGCUCACCAAGGCGACGAUCCGUAACUGGUCUGAGAGGAUGAUCAGUCACACUGGAACUGAGACACGGUCCAGACUCCUACGGGAGGCAGCAGUGGGGAAUAUUGGACAAUGGGCGAAAGCCUGAUCCAGCCAUGCCGCGUGUGUGAAGAAGGUCUUCGGAUUGUAAAGCACUUUAAGUUGGGAGGAAGGGCAGUUACCUAAUACGUGAUUGUUUUGACGUUACCGACAGAAUAAGCACCGGCUAACUCUGUGCCAGCAGCCGCGGUAAUACAGAGGGUGCAAGCGUUAAUCGGAAUUACUGGGCGUAAAGCGCGCGUAGGUGGUUAGUUAAGUUGGAUGUGAAAUCCCCGGGCUCAACCUGGGAACUGCAUUCAAAACUGACUGACUAGAGUAUGGUAGAGGGUGGUGGAAUUUCCUGUGUAGCGGUGAAAUGCGUAGAUAUAGGAAGGAACACCAGUGGCGAAGGCGA
RNAcentral lists this ribosomal RNA (650 nucleotides) under Pseudomonas sp. AE2B 199. RNAcentral's name for it is "bacterial SSU rRNA". It matches the Rfam family "Bacterial small subunit ribosomal RNA", at positions 78 to 724 of the family's 1533-position model. RNAcentral also lists the same sequence under 2 other names. The record is from RNAcentral. Lineage: Bacteria; Pseudomonadati; Pseudomonadota; Gammaproteobacteria; Pseudomonadales; Pseudomonadaceae.